RNAcentral lists this small RNA (281 nucleotides) under Pongo abelii (Sumatran orangutan). The record is from RNAcentral. Lineage: Eukaryota; Metazoa; Chordata; Mammalia; Primates; Hominidae.
GCUGGGCGUGGUAGCUCACGCCUGUAAUCCCAGCACUUUGGGAGGCUGAGGUGGCCGGAUCACCUGAGGUCAGGAGUUCAGGAGCAACCUGGGCAACAUGGUAAAACCCCGUCUCUACUAAAAAUGCAAAAAUUAGCUGGGUGUGGUGGCAUGCGCCUGUAGUCGCAGCUACUAGGGAGGCUGAGGCAGGAGCAUCACUUGAACCCGGGAGGUGGAGGUUGCAGUGAGCCGAGAUCACACCACUGCACUCCAGCCUGGCUACAGAGCGAGACUCCGUCAAA